CGUAGGUGGCAAGCGUUGUCCGGAUUUAUUGGGUUUAAAGGGUGCGUAGGCGGCCCUGUAAGUCAGUGCUGAAAUAUCCCGGCUUAACCGGGAGGGUGGCAUUGAUACUGCAGGGCUUGAGUAAAGUUGAGGUUGGCGGAAUUGACGGUGUAGCGGUGAAAUGCUUAGAUAUCGUCAAGAACACCGAUAGUGAAGACAGCUAACUAAGCUUUAACUGACGCUGAGGCACGAAAGUGUGGGGAUCAAACAGGAUUAGAUACCCUGGUAGUCCACACUGUAAACGUUGAUUACUCGAUGUUGGCGAUACACAGUCAGCGUCUUAGUGCAAGCGAUAAGUAAUCCACCUGGGGAGUACGCCGGCAACGGUG
Molecule: ribosomal RNA, 368 nt
Filed under: uncultured organism
Description: bacterial SSU rRNA
Rfam family: Bacterial small subunit ribosomal RNA
Source: RNAcentral